GUACUUGCUUGGACAGCACACAUACUAAAAUUGGAGUGAUACAGAGAAGAUUAACUUGACCCCUGUGCAAGGAUGGCAUGCAAAUUUGUGAAUCAUUCCAUAUUAAA
Molecule: small nuclear RNA, 107 nt
Organism: Mustela putorius furo (domestic ferret)
Lineage: Eukaryota; Metazoa; Chordata; Mammalia; Carnivora; Mustelidae
Source: Ensembl